AUGUCUUCCUCCUCCGCCUCCUUCCAGUCGGCCCUCGGCGGUGGAGCCCCGGAGAAGCUAACCCACAGCAACUAUGUUUUGUGGUGGACUCAGAUCAUGCCACAUCUAUGGGGUGCCGGCCUCUUCCACUAUGUUGAUGGCACGGCAACGGAGCCGGCCAAAGUCCUCACCACCAAGGACGCCGCCGGCAAGGAUACCACUGAGCCGAAUCCCCUUCAUCCGCUCUGGGUGAAGGAGGAUCAGCAGGUCCUCGACUAUCUUCUCCAACACCUCUCCAAGGAAGUGCUCAUCACGGUGACCACGAUCACCACGGCGCGCGCUCUUUGGGUGGCACUGGCGAACAUGUUUUCGUCACAGUCAUUCAGCCGCGUCAACAACAUCCGGACAGUGCUGAUCAAUGCGCAGAAGGGCAAUUAA
Molecule: ribosomal RNA, 417 nt
Filed under: Triticum aestivum (bread wheat)
Lineage: Eukaryota; Viridiplantae; Streptophyta; Magnoliopsida; Poales; Poaceae
Description: partial small subunit ribosomal RNA
Source: RNAcentral